This 1419-nucleotide ribosomal RNA is filed under the name Enterococcus durans. Its description in RNAcentral is "bacterial SSU rRNA". It matches the Rfam family "Bacterial small subunit ribosomal RNA". The record is from RNAcentral. Lineage: Bacteria; Bacillati; Bacillota; Bacilli; Lactobacillales; Enterococcaceae.
GUCGUACGCUUCUUUUUCCCCGGAGCUUGCUCCACCGGAAAAAGAAGAGUGGCGAACGGGUGAGUAACACGUGGGUAACCUGCCCAUCAGAAGGGGAUAACACUUGGAAACAGGUGCUAAUACCGUAUAACAAUCGAAACCGCAUGGUUUUGAUUUGAAAGGCGCUUUCGGGUGUCGCUGAUGGAUGGACCCGCGGUGCAUUAGCUAGUUGGUGAGGUAACGGCUCACCAAGGCCACGAUGCAUAGCCGACCUGAGAGGGUGAUCGGCCACAUUGGGACUGAGACACGGCCCAAACUCCUACGGGAGGCAGCAGUAGGGAAUCUUCGGCAAUGGACGAAAGUCUGACCGAGCAACGCCGCGUGAGUGAAGAAGGUUUUCGGAUCGUAAAACUCUGUUGUUAGAGAAGAACAAGGAUGAGAGUAACUGUUCAUCCCUUGACGGUAUCUAACCAGAAAGCCACGGCUAACUACGUGCCAGCAGCCGCGGUAAUACGUAGGUGGCAAGCGUUGUCCGGAUUUAUUGGGCGUAAAGCGAGCGCAGGCGGUUUCUUAAGUCUGAUGUGAAAGCCCCCGGCUCAACCGGGGAGGGUCAUUGGAAACUGGGAGACUUGAGUGCAGAAGAGGAGAGUGGAAUUCCAUGUGUAGCGGUGAAAUGCGUAGAUAUAUGGAGGAACACCAGUGGCGAAGGCGGCUCUCUGGUCUGUAACUGACGCUGAGGCUCGAAAGCGUGGGGAGCAAACAGGAUUAGAUACCCUGGUAGUCCACGCCGUAAACGAUGAGUGCUAAGUGUUGGAGGGUUUCCGCCCUUCAGUGCUGCAGCUAACGCAUUAAGCACUCCGCCUGGGGAGUACGACCGCAAGGUUGAAACUCAAAGGAAUUGACGGGGGCCCGCACAAGCGGUGGAGCAUGUGGUUUAAUUCGAAGCAACGCGAAGAACCUUACCAGGUCUUGACAUCCUUUGACCACUCUAGAGAUAGAGCUUCCCCUUCGGGGGCAAAGUGACAGGUGGUGCAUGGUUGUCGUCAGCUCGUGUCGUGAGAUGUUGGGUUAAGUCCCGCAACGAGCGCAACCCUUAUUGUUAGUUGCCAUCAUUUAGUUGGGCACUCUAGCAAGACUGCCGGUGACAAACCGGAGGAAGGUGGGGAUGACGUCAAAUCAUCAUGCCCCUUAUGACCUGGGCUACACACGUGCUACAAUGGGAAGUACAACGAGUCGCGAAGUCGCGAGGCUAAGCUAAUCUCUUAAAGCUUCUCUCAGUUCGGAUUGUAGGCUGCAACUCGCCUACAUGAAGCCGGAAUCGCUAGUAAUCGCGGAUCAGCACGCCGCGGUGAAUACGUUCCCGGGCCUUGUACACACCACCCGUCACACCACGAGAGUUUGUAACACCCGAAGUCGGUGAGGUAACCUUUGGAGCCAGCC